UCCGCUCCCAACCACGCUCGCCCCUCCGUAAGUUAUGUUUUUCUCCUAUCAGAUCCAAGAAAUUGAUAAUUGUUUUGGAGUACAGAUGAUCUAUACGUGAUUGAAACCUUGGUCUCUCCUAAACAUGUGAUUUGUUAAAUGCUUAGAAAUGAAUUGGCUGUGCAUCCGCACAGUUCUUUGUGAGCUGCAGAUUUAGACUUAAACUGUACUCCAUCCCAUCAGGUUGGAACAGGAUUUUCUAUUCAGUACCCAGACUAUUUUUUAAUUGUGACCUAUGUUAGAUUUUUGGUGCAAGGUAUAUAGAGAUCAUGAUCAAGACUAGAUAUUAUUAAGCAGAGAAUUUCUCAAGUCCCACGCUCAAGCAACUAAUUGGAAAACUACUUGAAACGCUGGCUAGGUAGUGACUAGCGAUAGCAAUUCAGUGAACCUACCAUGGACGGCGCCACGGCAGGAUCAGUGGCUGCAUGUGGCACUGUACCGAUUCUCCAGCCUCAAGGUCGCAACAUGUUGUCCCGACACGAACUCAAUCGUACUCCGCAGGCAGAGUGCAGCAGCACUGGGUGGCACUAGCGGCGCGACGCUCAUAGCAGUUUGGCUAGCUAGAAGAUGUACAUGACCGGGAAAAGGGCACCAAAGGUAUAAAUUUUCUUUUCUGAUUUUCUGUGUUUGUGUUGAUUUCUCAAUUUCAUUUUUUUGAAUUUCAGUGGAGCAAAGGCAUAAACUGUAGACCAUAUACAUUAUUUCUGUGUACAAGAGCUAUGGACUACUUUAAUUUUUCAUCAUGUUUUUAAUGUUUGAGUUUGCCCCACCUUGAUUUUUAUUCUUCCUCCGCCACUGCCUACCAUGGUCAUAGAUGAGACUGACCGUGUGAAGUAGAGCCGUAGAUGACACGGCCAACUCAGAUUUUGUGCAUUACAUGGUCUCUUGGCAGUUUUAGUUUCCUCUUAAAAAUAAUACCAUUGUGUUUAUGUUGAAUACUAUUUGGGUGUUGCAAGGUAAUAAUCACUAGAACAAAAUUUGUAAUUUAGCAUGUUUAGCGCAUUGUGGUUGUGAGUACUUGUCUUUUAGUUUAAGGAAUUUGUGUGCUUGUGGCCACUUGCAGUUUAACAUUUUUCAAUUUUUGCUCAGUUCUCCUGUAGUUAUUUGAUUACCAUUUUGACCUACAUCAUUUGCAAAUAUUUAUAUUUACUGAUUUUCCCAAUUUUUUAGGUUCGAGGGGAAGCCAAAAUAUGGUUUAGAUCAAGAGAAAAGAAUUGGACAAGAUAACACCAGUGAGGCAAUGCAUAGUUACCGCUAGAGGAAUUGGUUUUAAAAAUGUUUUUGGCACCCCCAAAUUUACCAAUGAUUGCAAUAGAUCAGUUUCGACAUAUACUACUAUUAGAAGAUGAUACAACUUUUAUUACUAAAGUUGACAUCAAAAUUGGAAGUUGCAAGUCAUUGUAUGGUUCUAUAAAAUGCUGUUAGUUUGGUUUGAUGGGUACAUCUUCAUCUCUUCUUGGACAUUUUGUUUCUUUGCUUAGUAUAAAAUGUAUUGCAUGUGUUCAUUAUUUUUUAAUUUUUCCCAAAUAUACUACAGACCCUCAAUAGGGUCAUUAUUUUUUAAUUUUGCCUAAACAUACUACAGAUCGUCAUGUGUGGACGUGUUUGCAAUUGCCACAUGCUCUCUGUACCCUCAAAUACAUA
RNAcentral lists this long non-coding RNA (1683 nucleotides) under Triticum aestivum (bread wheat). RNAcentral's name for it is "long non-coding RNA (TAES_LNC009934)". Lineage: Eukaryota; Viridiplantae; Streptophyta; Magnoliopsida; Poales; Poaceae. The record is from RNAcentral.